UCAUUAUUAGUAUAAUUGAAUUAUUUUUCUCUUCCAAAGAAAAGAUCUAUGUUUAAUAGAUGAUGAA
This 67-nucleotide transfer RNA is filed under the name Hydatigera parva. Its description in RNAcentral is "tRNA-Gly". The record is from RNAcentral. Lineage: Eukaryota; Metazoa; Platyhelminthes; Cestoda; Cyclophyllidea; Taeniidae.